RNAcentral lists this ribosomal RNA (592 nucleotides) under uncultured bacterium. Its description in RNAcentral is "bacterial SSU rRNA". It matches the Rfam family "Bacterial small subunit ribosomal RNA", at positions 57 to 626 of the family's 1533-position model. The record is from RNAcentral.
GCAAGUCGAGCGGUAAGGCCCCUUUCGGGGGUACACGAGCGGCGAACGGGUGAGUAACGCGUGGGUAACCUACCCAGAAGUGGGGGAUAGCCUCGGGAAACCGGGGGUAAUACCGCAUGAGUCCCAACCGGUGCGAACCGGAUGGGGGAAAGGCGGGGAUCUUCGGACCUGUCGCUUCUGGAUGGGCCCGCGUCCGAUUAGCUUGUUGGUGGGGUAAUGGCCCACCAAGGCUACGAUCGGUAGCCGGCCUGAGAGGGUGAACGGCCACAUUGGGACUGAGACACGGCCCAGACUCCUACGGGAGGCAGCAGUGGGGAAUUUUGGGCAAUGGGGGAAACCCUGACCCAGCGACGCCGCGUGGAGGAUGAAGGCCUUCGGGUUGUAAACUCCUGUCAGGUGGGAAGAAGAGCUCGGCGAAUAAUACUCGCCGAGAAUUGACGGUACCACCAAANGAAGCCCCGGCUAACUCCGUGCCAGCAGCCGCGGUAAUACGGAGGGGGCAAGCGUUAUUCGGAUUUACUGGGCGUAAAGCGCACGUAGGCGGCAGAAUAAGUCACAGGUGAAAGCCCUCGGCUCAACCGAGGAAUUGCCU